UACGCACGCUGGCGGCGUGCUUAACACAUGCAAGUCGAACGGAAAGGCCCUGCUUUUGUGGGGUGCUCGAGUGGCGAACGGGUGAGUAGCACGUGAGUAACCUGCCCUUGACUUUGGGAUAACUUCAGGAAACUGGGGCUAAUACCGGAUAGGAGCUCCUGCUGCAUGGUGGGGGUUGGAAAGUUUCGGCGGUUGGGGAUGGACUCGCGGCUUAUCAGCUUGUUGGUGGGGUAGUGGCUUACCAAGGCUUUGACGGGUAGCCGGCCUGAGAGGGUGACCGGCCACAUUGGGACUGAGAUACGGCCCAGACUCCUACGGGAGGCAGCAGUGGGGAAUAUUGCACAAUGGGCUGAAGCCUGAUGCAGCAACGCCGCGUGCGGUAUGACGGCCUUCGGUUUGUAAACCGCUUUCGCCUGUGACGAAGCGUGAGUGACGGUAAUGGGUAAAGAAGCACCGGCUAACUACGUG
RNAcentral lists this ribosomal RNA (468 nucleotides) under uncultured bacterium. Its description in RNAcentral is "partial 16S ribosomal RNA". It matches the Rfam family "Bacterial small subunit ribosomal RNA", at positions 29 to 507 of the family's 1533-position model. The record is from RNAcentral.